AGCAGCCGCGGUAAUUCCAGCUCCAAUAGCGUAUAUUAAAGUUGUUGCAGUUAAAAAGCUCGUAGUUGAAUUUCGGGGUUAGUAGGUUGGUCAUGCCUCUGGUAUGUACUGGUCUCACUGAUUCCUCCUUCCUGAUGAGCCGUAAUGCCAUUAAUUUGGUGUUGCGGGGAAUUUGGACUGUUACUUUGAAAAAAUUAGAGUGUUUAAAGCAAGCUAACGCUUGAAUACAUUAGCAUGGAAUAAUGAAAUAGGACGUUCGAUCCUAUUUUGUUGGUUUCUAGGAUUGACGUAAUGAUUAAUAGGGAUAGUUGGGGGCAUUAGUAUUCAAUUGUCAGAGGUGAAAUUCUUGGAUUUAUUGAAGACUAACUACUGCGAAAGCAUUUGCCAGGGAUGUUUUCAUUAAUCAAGAACGAAAGUUAGGGGAUCGAAGACGAUCAGAUACCGUCGUAG
Molecule: ribosomal RNA, 450 nt
Filed under: uncultured Glomeromycotina
Lineage: Eukaryota; Fungi; Glomeromycota
Description: SSU rRNA
Rfam family: Eukaryotic small subunit ribosomal RNA
Source: RNAcentral